This 73-nucleotide transfer RNA is filed under the name Aspergillus flavus NRRL3357. RNAcentral describes it as "tRNA-Ile (TAT) (tRNA-Ile-TAT-2-1)". It matches the Rfam family "tRNA". Rfam says of the family: Transfer RNA (tRNA) molecules are approximately 80 nucleotides in length. Their secondary structure includes four short double-helical elements and three loops (D, anti-codon, and T loops). Lineage: Eukaryota; Fungi; Ascomycota; Eurotiomycetes; Eurotiales; Aspergillaceae. RNAcentral also lists the same sequence under 2 other names. The record is from RNAcentral.
GCUCCUUUGGCCUAGUGGUUAUGGCGUGGCUCUUAUGUAGCUGAAGUCGAGGGUUCGACUCCCUCAAGGAGCA